Rhinichthys klamathensis goyatoka is the source of this 83-nucleotide small nucleolar RNA. RefSeq annotates it as small nucleolar RNA SNORA17. The transcript has a single exon. The record is from RefSeq and is a predicted model, not a curated record. Lineage: Eukaryota; Metazoa; Chordata; Actinopteri; Cypriniformes; Leuciscidae.
UUUGCUCCUCGAGGCGUUGCAGCACAGCUAGAUGUGCCGUGCCUGUGUCAUGAGGCGCAUAGAGCAGAAGGGCGCCAUAAAUU